Bos taurus (domestic cattle) is the source of this 1490-nucleotide long non-coding RNA. NCBI's taxonomy places the organism in Eukaryota, Metazoa, Chordata, Mammalia, Artiodactyla, Bovidae. The record is from Ensembl.
GGCGCUGGCCCUGGAAUGUCUUCCUCCAGCCCCUCCUGUUUUCUUGUCUCUUGGCCCAGGAAGUCACUGGUGCCUACAGUCUCAUUAUCUCUGCCGAAAUCUGCCUCCUCACUGCUGUUUACAUCUACGUGGUCAUUCCUGAGACCAAGGGCCGAACAUUUGUGGAGAUAAACAGAAUUUUUGCCAAGAGAAACAGAGCGGAGGUUCCAGAGGAGAAAGAAGAAAUCGCAGAUGCUGAGCCUCAUGUACUAUCCCUGUCGGCCACAGAGACUUCCUUUUGUGGCUGUGCACAUCCCCAGGUGCUAAGUUCAAGACUUCCUUCUUUGAGGAAGGGACUCCCUGCCCCAGGCCUCGAGGGAGGGGAACCACCGAGGAAUUUCUGAGCCCCUAGUGGUGGCUAGAAGAUUUUGGAAAAUUUGGUCCCUGAUUUAGUUGAGAAGCACUUAGCUUCCAAUGCUCGCCUGGGGAGGAAUGACCUGGAAGGACAGGCAGACUAUGCCGUUCUCAACUAAACCAGGAUUGACUGAACUGUUUUGGAAGCUUGCCCUUCUCUUCCUUGUCUGAACCCAGAGUCAUAGAUCUUUGUCGGUGGAGGAAACAGAUUGGUCCCAUCUCCUCCAUCGUUUUCAGUAUGUAUCUGCUGCUGCUACUGCUAAGUCGCUUCAGUCGUGUCUGACUCUGUGCAACCCCAUAGACGGCAGCGCACCAGGCUCCCCCAUCCCUGGGAUUCUCCAGGCAAGAACACUGGAGGCAUUCGGGAUCUUAGUUCCCUGACCAAGGAUGGAAACUUCACACCUCUCAAUGGAAGCUCGGAGUCAUAACCACUAGACCGCCAAGGAAGUCCCUACUGUGCUUCAUUUUUACAUCCACAAUUUGAAGCCUUACAUCCUAUUUUUAUUUUACUAACAGUGCCCACAGAGCCCCUGAGGCCCAGGCAGCUGCUCAAAACCACUCUCAGGUGUGUUUCCUUCUCCCUGUGACAGAGGGUGGGACCCACAGGUUGAUCCAUGCACUCAGGGCACACAGAGGCCCCAGGCCAGGCCCCCUCAGCCUCAGACAGCCCUGCCUUGGCCCGGAGCCUGAUGUCUGAGCUUCCUGACCUCAGCUGUGUCCUCACACCCAUUUCACUUUGUGCCUCCCCUACCUGCCCCGCACUUCCAGGAACAGCCCUAGCAAACCUUCUCCUGUGUCCCAGAGGCUCCUGGAGUCAGAUCCAGAGCCCGGUGAAGAGGUGAGACUUAGUAUGUUGGCCUCAGAGCCCACUAACUGCAUGUGGCAGUCCCUCCAGCUCUGUUCUGAAGUCCUCUGAACUCUUGGCUCAGCUGAUAGACCAUGGCCACCACAGAGGAAACCGUUUACAGCACUUUCUCACCUUCUAGACCUUCUUUCAUCACCAUAUCCAUGAACCCUCAAGUCAACAACCUCAGGCUCUCAUCCAUCAAUCCUAGCCCCCCUGGAGCAACCUGUGGUAAACCAGAUUACUCCUAAGU